RNAcentral lists this ribosomal RNA (492 nucleotides) under uncultured bacterium. RNAcentral describes it as "partial 16S ribosomal RNA". It matches the Rfam family "Bacterial small subunit ribosomal RNA", at positions 29 to 507 of the family's 1533-position model. The record is from RNAcentral.
AGUGAACGCUGGCGGUAGGCCUAACACAUGCAAGUCGAACGGCAGCACAGUAAGAGCUUGCUCUUACGGGUGGCGAGUGGCGGACGGGUGAGGAAUACAUCGGAAUCUACUUUUUCGUGGGGGAUAACGUAGGGAAACUUACGCUAAUACCGCAUACGACCUACGGGUGAAAGCAGGGGAUCUUCGGACCUUGCGCGAUUGAAUGAGCCGAUGUCGGAUUAGCUAGUUGGCGGGGUAAAGGCCCACCAAGGCGACGAUCCGUAGCUGGUCUGAGAGGAUGAUCAGCCACACUGGAAGUGAGACACGGUCCAGACUCCUACGGGAGGCAGCAGUGGGGAAUAUUGGACAAUGGGGGCGAGCCUGAUCCAGCCAUACCGCGUGGGUGAAGAAGGCCUUCGGGUUGUAAAGCCCUUUUGUUGGGAGAGAAAAGCAGCAGGUUAAUACCCCGCUGUUCUGACGGUACCCAAAGAAUAAGCACCGGCUAACUUCGUG